Non-coding RNA from Punica granatum (pomegranate), 794 nucleotides. The record is from RefSeq and is a predicted model, not a curated record. NCBI's taxonomy places the organism in Eukaryota, Viridiplantae, Streptophyta, Magnoliopsida, Myrtales, Lythraceae.
UGGCAAUUAUUCCAGUGAGGAGGCCCACCAAGCAAGCCAGAGACCACUUCAGGAAAAUGUACUGAAGCACUUGAGCUUUGGAUCUACUCCUCCAGUCAUGCUUGAACAGAACAUUCUCAUUUAUCCUGGAAUACAACCGAAAAAUGGUUUGCAGGAACGAACUCGUAAUCCAAGCUCUCAAUGUGGGAGACUUUGGCCCCGACCAAUGCCAGCGGGCUCGCCGAGAGCGUUCUGUGCCUCUUGAGGAGUGGUUCGUGCAGUGAAUUGCUCUCCGGGUCUCUUCCUUCUUCUUCUUCUUUGUCUGCUCCUACUGCUUCUCCAUUGCUAUGAGCAGCUGCUGCUGCUUCUUCUUCUUCGGCAUGCUGCUGCUUCGAGUCUUCCUCCAUGUCGAUAAGUUCCGAAGAAGAUUGCUCAGAAGAAGAAGGAGAAGAAGAAGAGGAAGAGGAAGGAGAAGAAGAAGAUGGGUUGUGUAAUUGUUCAACAGUGGUUGGUUCCAAAGAGUGUAUAUAUAUAUAUAUAUGUAUAUACAUAUAUAUAUAUAUAGGGUCUGUUUAUUGGGACAAAGGGGACUUGCUUGAUUGGAGCUCGUUUCAGUUUAAAAAAGGGGCCUUGGUAGGGGUGAAAGGGCAAAAGACCACAAGUUGGCGGGUCAUUCUCAUAAAAGCAGACAAGAUUGGAGGUCCAGUUGUUUAUUAUAGAAAAAUUAUCAGCAAAUUGGGAUCCAUAUCAUUUCACACCAAGUUGAUAAUUAGGCUUGGCCUUUUAGCAAUAAAUGAUCAUACUGCCUCCGUAAA